GAUGAACGCUGGCGGCGUGCCUAAUACAUGCAAGUCGAGCGAACAGACGAGGGGCUUGCUCCUCUGACGUUAGCGGCGGACGGGUGGGUAACACGUGGAUAACCUACCUGUCAGACUGGGAUAGCUUCGGGAAACCGGGGCUAAUACCUGCUAAUAUAUUUAACUGCAUGGUUCCAUAGUUAAAGACGGUUUUGCUGUCACUUAUAGAUGGAUCCGCGCCGCAUUAGCUAGUUGGUAAGGUAACGGCUUACCAAGGCAACGAUGCGUAGCCGACCUGAUAGGGGAAUAGGCCACCCCGGACCGGAGCCGAGGUCCAGACCACUCCGGGAGGGAGCGGAGGAGUAUGUAACGCUAUGGAAGAAACGCUAACGGGGCACCGCCGCGUAGGGGACAAAGUUCUUCGGCUAGUAAUACUAAGCUAUUAUGGAGCAACAAAUGUGUAAGCAACUUGGGAGGUCUUGCAGGUACCUAAUCAAAAAGCACCGGCUAACUACGUG
Molecule: ribosomal RNA, 497 nt
Filed under: uncultured bacterium
Lineage: Bacteria
Description: partial 16S ribosomal RNA
Rfam family: Bacterial small subunit ribosomal RNA
Source: RNAcentral